GUCCUUUAGAAAUAAAUGUUUUACCUCUCAAGUGUCUUCAGAACAGAAGAUCAAGAGGAAAGGCUCUAUGCAGAGGGUUUCAGAAGAGAGAAGAUAUUUCAUCUGCAUCUCCCACUUCAGAACAAUACUGAAAGCGCAACAUUCAAGCUGCGAUCAGUAAUCAUGGACUGUCAUCAGAGCAUGUGCCUGGGAAGAAAAAGAACAAAAUAAUAAUAAAAAAAGCCAACAAGUAUGUAUCUUGCA
This 243-nucleotide long non-coding RNA is filed under the name Coturnix japonica (Japanese quail). RNAcentral describes it as "lncRNA (ENSCJPG00005007805.1)". Lineage: Eukaryota; Metazoa; Chordata; Aves; Galliformes; Phasianidae. The record is from RNAcentral.